GCCCUGGUGGCUCAGAUGGUAAAGAAUCUGCUUGCAAUGCAGGAGACCCAGGUUCGAUCCCUGGAUGGGGAA
This 72-nucleotide transfer RNA is filed under the name Bos taurus (domestic cattle). It matches the Rfam family "tRNA". Rfam says of the family: Transfer RNA (tRNA) molecules are approximately 80 nucleotides in length. Lineage: Eukaryota; Metazoa; Chordata; Mammalia; Artiodactyla; Bovidae. RNAcentral also lists the same sequence under 3 other names. The record is from Rfam by way of RNAcentral.